CUUUUUAAUUUUUAAAGAGAUGAAUUAAUUUACUCUUUAAAAUUUUAAUUUUAAUGGCAUACCUAUGUAAUUACUUACAAAAUAUAAGGUUACAUUUAAAAUGUACUUCCCAAAUAAUAUAGUAGGAUUUAUGUUGUUUAGAAGUCAUUUCAUUAAAUGCUUCUCU
This 166-nucleotide small RNA is filed under the name Arabidopsis thaliana (thale cress). RNAcentral describes it as "ATSL176400". The record is from RNAcentral. Lineage: Eukaryota; Viridiplantae; Streptophyta; Magnoliopsida; Brassicales; Brassicaceae.